This 84-nucleotide transfer RNA is filed under the name Merluccius polli (Benguela hake). RNAcentral's name for it is "tRNA-Phe". The stretch from base 2 to 73 matches the Rfam family "tRNA". From Rfam's summary of the family: Transfer RNA (tRNA) molecules are approximately 80 nucleotides in length. Their secondary structure includes four short double-helical elements and three loops (D, anti-codon, and T loops). The record is from RNAcentral. Lineage: Eukaryota; Metazoa; Chordata; Actinopteri; Gadiformes; Merlucciidae.
UGCCUAAAUUGCUCAGAUGGCAGAGCGUUAGACUGAAGAUCUAAAGGUCCCUGGUUCGAUCAUGGGUUACGUCAGGUUAGUCAA